This 84-nucleotide non-coding RNA is filed under the name Ochromonas sp. CCMP1393. Lineage: Eukaryota; Chrysophyceae; Chromulinales; Chromulinaceae. The record is from RNAcentral.
UGGAUUCUUGUGGCUUUUGCCAUAACUUCUGCGAACGGGCAAAUGCGUAAUCGUGAUCUUUCGUCGAAAAUCCGUGAAACCACU